ACGUAGGUGGCAAGCGUUGUCCGGAUUUACUGGGUGUAAAGGGCGAGUAGGCGGGAUUGCAAGUCAGAUGUGAAAUCUAUCGGCUUAACUGAUAGCGUGCAUUUGAAACUGCGGUUCUUGAGUGAUGGAGAGGCAGGCGGAAUUCCUAGUGUAGCGGUGAAAUGCGUAGAUAUUAGGAGGAACACCAGUGGCGAAGGCGGCCUGCUGGACAUUAACUGACGCUGAGGCGCGAAAGCGUGGGGAGCAAACAG
Molecule: ribosomal RNA, 251 nt
Filed under: uncultured prokaryote
Description: partial 16S rRNA
Rfam family: Bacterial small subunit ribosomal RNA
Source: RNAcentral